Molecule: ribosomal RNA, 253 nt
Filed under: uncultured bacterium
Lineage: Bacteria
Description: partial 16S ribosomal RNA
Rfam family: Bacterial small subunit ribosomal RNA
Source: RNAcentral
UACGUAGGGGGCUAGCGUUGUCCGGAUUUAUUGGGCGUAAAGAGCGUGUAGGCGGCUUUGCAGGUCCGUUGUGAAAUCUCGGGGCUUAACUCCGAAACUGCAUUCGAUACUGCCGUGCUUGAGGACGGGAGAGGAGACUGGAAUUUACGGUGUAGCGGUGAAAUGCGUAGAUAUCGUAAGGAAGACCAGUGGCGAAGGCGGGUCUCUGGACAGUUCCUGACGCUGAGGCACGAAGGCCAGGGGAGCAAACGGG